CCUACGGGCGGCAGCAGUGGGGACUAUUGCACAAUGGGGGGAACCCUGAUGCAGCGACGCCGCGUGGUUGAAGGAGUAUUUCGGUAUGUAAAGCCCUAUCAGCAGGGAAGAACAAUGACGGUACCUGACUAAGAAGCACCGGCUCAAUACGUGCCAGCAGCCGCGGUAAUACGUAGGGAGCAAGCGUUAUCCGGAUGUACUGGGUGUAAAGGGAGCGUAGACGGAAAGGCAAGUCAGAAGUGAAAACCCAAGGCUCAACCAUGGGACUGCUUUUGAAAAUGUCAAACUAGAGUACGGGAGAGGUAAGAGGAAUUCCUAGUGUAGCGGUGAAAUGCGUAGAUAUUAGGAGGAACACCAGUGGCGAAGGCGUCUUACUGGACCGAAACUGACGUUGAGGCUCGAAAGCGUGGGGAGCAAACAGGAUUAGAUACCCUAGUAGUC
This 441-nucleotide ribosomal RNA is filed under the name uncultured bacterium. RNAcentral describes it as "partial 16S ribosomal RNA". It matches the Rfam family "Bacterial small subunit ribosomal RNA", at positions 338 to 795 of the family's 1533-position model. The record is from RNAcentral.